RNA transcript from Cryptomeria japonica (Japanese cedar), 1873 nucleotides. It is a transcript of the gene named alkaline ceramidase TOD1, with no coding region annotated. The record is from RefSeq and is a predicted model, not a curated record. Lineage: Eukaryota; Viridiplantae; Streptophyta; Pinopsida; Cupressales; Cupressaceae. The transcript has 5 exons.
GCAUAGUUCUUUUCACUCUUUCCUUCUGUCUUAUUCUCACUGUGCCUCUAUUUUUUUCCAAAAUGUUAAAGGCGGAUGCAAUAUAUAAAUCUUAUAUGCAAAAAUGAAUUCACCAUACAUAUAAAGGCCAACACUAUGCUAAUGGGAUAUCGGUAGGGAAUUCAUUAGUAUUAAAAUCUGAAUAUGUAGAGGAAACCAGUCUUGAGGGAGGGGCAAUGAUAGGUUUGCUUGAACCCUAGCAUAUAUCGGGCAAAUUAAAUAGCCUUUACACUUUGUGAGCUGAGAGGGAUCUGUUGUGUCUUUGUGUUUGUAACAAUCACUUUGAGCGGUGGAAACUGUUGCCUAUUUUUUACCUCCAGAUAAAAAAUGGCAAGGGGUUGUUGUUAACUAGUUAUUAAUAAUUAUUCUAUUUUUUUCUUAAAAUAUAGAUGCCAAUUUUUUAACUUUGCAUGUUUGAAAAAUUAUUUUUCUGCACUCUUAUUGGCUAAAAAUUUCUACUCGAUAUGGGCAAUUAUUGCGGGUACUGGCGGUAUGUUGCAAAAAUAAUUAAGAUAAGGAUGCUACAUCGAGCUGCAAAAAUAAUUAGGAUAAGGAUGCUACAUCGAUUCUUCUAAUCUUAUUUCGGUCUUAUCUGAAUAACAUUGCUUUGUUCACUGACAGGAGACUAAUCUUAUCUUUAUCUCCUGGAAUUGAAGUGUAUAACAGUCGGGGAUCCGAUUCACAGAGGCAAAAAUUAGCAAAUUUCUCCUUGUAGAACUACUCGUGAAGAUGGACAAACGUUCUCCUACAUUUUUUUUACAAAGACAAAAGUUACUUAUUCUCCAAAACAAUGCGAAUCGGAGGGACCUCCUAUGUUGGUUGUGUUGUAAAGAGUAAGAAGGAAGCUGAAAUAAAUGUUGCCUUUGUAGCAUUUCAAGCCAUCAAAGGACAAGUAGCCACUCAAACCACUGACCUAUUGAAAUCUAUUACAAGGGUUCCUCGCUUCCAGCUUCAACUUCAGGGUGAAAGCAGCAUGAGUCAUGAGUUGAAACGGCCUACCAAAGAGUGCAAGCAUAUUAUGCCUGAAUUGAAGAGAAUAACUAAUAGUUUUCCUCCAUGCAAUAACUUCUUGGUGGGAAACAACCUUGAGCAUGCUGAGAAUUCCUGCAAAAUGUCAAUUUGGGGACUACAUGUACAAUUGAAGAGGGCCCUAGAAAUUUAAAUGUAAAUGAUGAAAAUUCGGCACCUUUGACAGAACCACAUAACCAGCUUGAGUGAGAAGCUUUUCUGAUUCAGUUAGAGUAGAAAAAGACUGAAGCACAGAAGCAAGGUGUGCAGGAGGUUAAUUUAUAAGAUUCUAUAAUUAAGAGAAAUAGAAGUGACUGGGAAUUGUGGACAGAUAAGUGGCAAGAUGAACCAUAGGAUCAUUUCAACAGCACAUCAACAAACAACAGAAACUAUCUGAUAUUCCAAAGUUGUUGCUUCACAGGCUCUUCUUCAACGUGAGAUAUUCUUUGUGGAUUGAUGGGAAGCUUGAGCUUUUAGUUGAUCUGCAUCAAAUUCUUGAAAGCUACAGACCCUUUUUCACACACACAUCUCUGGCACCCACCGCGGGGCAAAAGACUACAUUUUUCGGCCUCCAAGACUGACAGCUUAUUUUUUUGUUAUUUUCCAGAUUUCAGUUUUUUUGGAUUUUCGUCCAUACAUCUCGUACGACAUUUACCACAGGCUAAAAUGACAAAUUGUAGGUGUCGUACGAAUUGGAAUCCUGUCUCGUACGAGUUGGAAUCCUGUAUCGUACAUAUUUUCAUUUUGUCGUACGACUUUGUAUUUUCUGGUUAAAAAAGUUAAAAAAGAGGCAAAAUUUCAUGAUUUUUAUUAAUUAUUCUGACGA